Molecule: non-coding RNA, 235 nt
Organism: Pelobates cultripes (western spadefoot toad)
Lineage: Eukaryota; Metazoa; Chordata; Amphibia; Anura; Pelobatidae
Source: the annotation of a GenBank genome assembly
AGGUUCCCGGCACAUCAGUUCCAGGAGAUCCAGAAACCAUGCUUGACUUUGCCAGAACCUAAAGGAGAAUUGAACCUGAGGCAGAACGAUCAUAGCAAACGGGGGAACGCAUAUGCCAAUCUGAAGUGGACAACCCUGCAGAAAGUCAUCCAGGGACCUUAAUUCCGAAUCUGGAUGCCAGCUGAAGAAAGUCAGAAAUUGAGGCAAAUAAAUCUACUGAGAACAGACCCUGAAC